AGAGUUUGAUUAUGGCUCAGGAUGAACGCUAGCGGCAGGACCUAAUACAUGCAAGUCGUACGGGAGACACCCGUUCGGGGUGUCGAGAGUGGCGGACGGGUGCGUAACGCGUAUGCAACCCACCCCCCGACGGGCGGAUAGCCGGUGGAAACGCCGGAUAACCCGCCAUGCGGCCCCACAGGGGCAUCCCUGUGGAGUCAAAGCGGCGACGCGGUCGGGGACGGGCAUGCGUCCCAUUAGAUAGCAGGCGGGGUGACGGCCCACCUGGUCGACGAUGGGUAGGGGAUCUGAGAGGACGGUCCCCCCACACUGGUACUGAGACACGGACCAGACUCCUGCGGGAGGCAGCAGUAAGGGAUAUUGGGCAAUGGGGGCAACCCUGACCCAGCCAUGCCGCCGUGAGGGAAUGAGGCCCUACGGGUCGUGAACCUCUUUUGUCCGGGGACAAGGCAUCCCACGCGAUGGGAUGUUGAGGGUACCGGGAGAAUAAGCGUCGGCUAACUCCGUGCCAGCAGCCGC
RNAcentral lists this ribosomal RNA (519 nucleotides) under uncultured bacterium. RNAcentral describes it as "bacterial SSU rRNA". It matches the Rfam family "Bacterial small subunit ribosomal RNA", at positions 8 to 518 of the family's 1533-position model. The record is from RNAcentral.